UACGUAGGGGGCAAGCGUUGUCCGGAUUUAUUGGGCGUAAAGGGCGCGUAGGCGGCUUUGCAAGUGACGGGUGAAAGCCCUCGGCUUAACCGAGGAACUGCCUGUCAGACUGUAAGGCUUGAGACCGGGAGAGGUGAGUGGAAUUCCCAGUGUAGCGGUGAAAUGCGUAGAUAUUGGGAGGAACACCAGUGGCGAAGGCGGCUCACUGGACCGGAACUGACGCUGAGGCGCGAAAGCGUGGGGAGCAAACAGG
RNAcentral lists this ribosomal RNA (253 nucleotides) under uncultured bacterium. RNAcentral's name for it is "partial 16S ribosomal RNA". It matches the Rfam family "Bacterial small subunit ribosomal RNA", at positions 524 to 776 of the family's 1533-position model. The record is from RNAcentral.